AACGAACGCCAGCGGCGUGGGUUAGGCAUGCAAGUCGAACGUGAUCCGUAGCAAUACGGUGAAAGUGGCGGAAGGGUGAGUAAUGCAUAGAUAACCUACCUCCAAGUCUGGGAUAACUCCGGGAAACUGGAGCUAAUACCGGAUGGGGGUCGCGAGAUCGCCUGGUUUUGCGACUAAAGGGGCCCUCCUUACAGUGGUCCUGCUCGGAGAGGGAUCUAUGUCCUAUCAGCAGUUGGUGAGGGUAAGAGCCCACCAAGGCUGUGACGGGUAGCCGGCCUUAGCGGGUGUCCGGCCACAUUGGGACUGAGACACUGCCCAAACUCCUACGGGGAGCUGCAGUCGAGGAUCUUCCGCAAUGGGCGCAAGCCUGACGGAGCGA
Molecule: ribosomal RNA, 379 nt
Filed under: uncultured bacterium
Lineage: Bacteria
Description: bacterial SSU rRNA
Rfam family: Bacterial small subunit ribosomal RNA
Source: RNAcentral